GAAAAGCCCACUACACCACCUUCUUCCUCUUCUCUUUUUUUUCUCCUCGUUCUCCCCUUCUCUCCCCCACGUUCUUUCCAGUGCCGCCGCUUCCUAGGCAGCGCCGGCGACGCCGCCACUCUCCCUAGCGCCGGCUACCGCGCCCCACUCCGGCGACCCCUCAAGCAGAUGUCCCGCAGCCGCGAAUCGGUUUCUUGGCUCCACGCUUCUCUGCCCCUAAGCUAAACCUAACUUCCAACCUCCUCAAUCCUAAAUGCAGCCGCCGGCAAAACUCCGGCGAGGUAAGGAUUCAGAGGAAGUUCCCAGGCCCCUACCGCUGCUACCACUUCGAUUCCUCCCUUCUAUCUCCUUUUCCCUGAUCUCUAGUGUGUUAUACUGUGGUUGAUGAGGACAUGGAUUAAACUAUUGGUCAACUAAUUAUAUACAUAUCCACUUGAUUCAGAUGCUAUGCUCUAACCUCUUCUCUAGAUUAUUUUCUGUAAGAACCUAUGGUUUUCUGUUUGGUAUCCUUAAUUGCUCAGUUCUAUUCUUUUUACUAAAACCUGCUGCUACAUGAUCUUCUAUAUUUUAAUCUGAAAUACCAGUGCUUCCUGAACUUGGUAUUAUAUAUAAAUGAAUGUUUCACCCUAAAUCCAAUUAUAUGGUGAUUCUAUACAAUCUAAAAUAUAUACUACUGUUUACUAAUUGAACUAGCCUAAUUGAUAGAGUUGUUAUGGUCCUUAUGUUUCAUGAUAAAUUGAAUAUGUGCUAGGGUUCAGAUACUAAUUUCCAAGUCCAUGGCUAAAUCUAAAAUCUGAUUUUAUCUAUAUGUCAAGAAUAUCAAUAUUUGUACUAUGAAUAAAGAUCUGCAGUUACUAAAUUUGAUAAAGACAUAAGACUGAUGAUAUCUUUAUAUACAUUCUACUGUUUCUUGAUUUAUCACCUGAGCACCUGUUUAUCUAUAGUAAAAUUUUAGUUACACAAACCGUUCUGAAGAUCAAACUAUUAAUGUGAAUAUUUUACUGAAUCAGAGAUGUUCUGGUUCAGCUUCUAAUGGAUGCAAAUGCAACACCCAAGGCCUACACAUACUAGUAUAUGCACAGAUCAACAUAGCUGCCAUCUCCUGAGGUUCAUUUUUCAGGUUUAAUGCAUAUAACUAAGUGCGUGCACACAACUCCUAAACAUACUAAUAUAUGCAUCAACCAAGAAUCAUGACAUGAUGUGAUUUCCCUCUCAUUCUAAUUCUUUUUCCAGAUUACCUUAUUUGAUGGUUCUACUGUGGCUGUGGAAGACUAAUGACCGUGUGACUCUCCUCUGGUUCUACAGCUUCUUUUGAAAUUGGUCAGGGUGUUGCUCCUCCUCUUGUUUACUGCUGCCCUUCCGGAUCUGCUACUUGUUUCUCCUCUUUAAAUUGAAACCCCUUGCUCUUCUUGAAACACAUGCAUCCCCUUUCUUUUCCUUCUACUCUCUCACCCUGGUUGUUUUUCUAUGGCUGCUGCUAUUGAGAUUUGGUGUAACUGUGGUGCCGGAUUACUAGCUACUGCUCUGCUAUCUCUCUCUUUUGAGAUGGUUUUGCAUACGAACUGCUUGCUGCUACUGCUGUUGCGGCUGAGGCUGCUGCGACAUGGCUGUGCUCUUGCUGUUGCUACUACUACUGCCACUGCUUGCUGCCUAUGCUGAUCUGCACGACCAAACCGAGGCUGGUUCACAGAUAGCUGAGUUAAUAUAUGUGGGAAUUUUUAGUGAAAGCUAAGUGACUCACCUACUUGGGCUAGAUGGCUGCUCCUAGCUUUGACACCUAUGCAGUGCUUGAUCGGUGGAGUAUUGUAGGGUUUCACUAAUUUUUUUUAUUAGAUAGUCUGAUAUAAUUAGGUACUUUUGCACUUGAGUCCCUCAGAGUCUCUAAUAUUGAAGGUUGCUUUGAGAUUAGGGACUGAUUUGUAAUUGCCCUAGAACUCAAGAGUUUUUCUGAAUAAAUAAUUAAUUGAAUCUU
Oryza sativa Japonica Group (Japanese rice) is the source of this 1972-nucleotide non-coding RNA. The record is from RefSeq and is a predicted model, not a curated record. NCBI's taxonomy places the organism in Eukaryota, Viridiplantae, Streptophyta, Magnoliopsida, Poales, Poaceae.